RNAcentral lists this ribosomal RNA (1774 nucleotides) under marine metagenome. RNAcentral describes it as "bacterial LSU rRNA". It matches the Rfam family "Archaeal large subunit ribosomal RNA", at positions 667 to 2508 of the family's 2987-position model. The record is from RNAcentral.
GGGAGUUCUGAUCAUUGGCGAGGUUAAGCAGUUGAUCUGCGAAGCCGAAGGGAAACCGAAAGGUCCGCAGCCGCGUAAGCGGUCAGGGACUGGGUGCGCUCGCCCGGAGUCAAUGGUGGGAGACCUGAAGCCUAUCGAUCUAUGCCUGGCCAGAUUGAAGCCCGAGGAAACUUGGGUGGAGGAUCGAACCGUUGCUGAUGUGCAAAUCGCUCGGACGAGCUGGGUAUAGGGGUGAAAGUCCAAUCGAGUUGGGCAAUAGCAGGUUCCGCGUGAAACUACUCGUAGGUAGACGUCCGUGAAGAUUGAUUACGCUGUAGAGCACUGAUUGUGCGUUUAGGGGACUCGCGUCCUCGGCGUGCUGCCAAACUCCGAAGGUGUAAUCGUUGUAGAAGCGGGCAGUGAGUCAUGGUGGGUAAGCUACCAUGACGCAAGGUGAACAAACCAGCCUGAAGUUAAGGUCCCUAAAUUCCAAUUAAGUGUCACAGACAAACCGUGUCCGUGGUCGAAAACAACCAGAAGGUGGGCUUAGAGGCAGCCAUCCUUGAAAGAGUUCGUAACAGAUCACUGGUCUAGCUUGCGGGCCGGGAAAAGGGACGGGGCUAAAAUUGGAUACCGAUACUUCAGACCAUCGAAAGAUGAUGUGGUAACGCGGCGUAGUGUUUGGGUGGAAGCAAGGCUUUGAGGUCUUGUGGACCGGAUACUAAUGAGAGUCUUGGGAAGAGUAGCAGCACAGUGUGGUGAGAAUCCGCACCACCGGAGGGGCCAGGGUUCCUCGGCACUGUUUAUCAGCCGAGGGUUAGCCGGUCCUAAGGCAAUUCUUAACCGAAAUUGUCGAAAGGGAAUGAUGUUAAUAUUCAUCAGCCCCCCCUGUAAUCUAUGGUGACGGCUCGGGCAAAGUCAUGAGAUCAUAUGUCAGGUCUCAUGAUACCAAGCUUCUGGAGAACUGUUAUAGUGAGAAGGAAGCGAAGUCCUGGGUCCCAUGAAAAGCCACAGGGGGUGACCGUACCGAGAACUGACACAGGUGCCCCUGGGUGAGUAGCCUAAGGUGUAUCGGAUACAAAUAUCGCGAGGGAACUCGGCAAAAUAGCUCCGUAACUUCGGGAGAAGGAGUGCCAGAUUAGGAAUAAUCUGGUCGCAGUGACCAGGGAGCUCCGACUGUUUAAUAAAAACAUAGGGGACUGCCAGAUCGAAAGGUUGUGUAUAGUCCCUGAAUCCUGCUCAGUGCUGGUAUCUGAAACCGGGUUUCAACCUGGCGAAGGACCAGUAAACAGCGGGGGUAACUAUGACCCUCUUAAGGUAGCGUAAUACCUUGUCGCUUAAUUGGCGACUUGCAUGAAUGGUCCAACGAGGGCUCCACUGUCCCCGCGAUAUGUCCGGCGAAAUUGACUUUACUGGCGCACAGUCCAGUACCUUCAACCCGCAAGCGAAGACCCCAUAGAGCUUUACUGCAGCCUGUCGUUGCAUAGUCGCUUUCCAUGUACUGUGUAGGUGGGAGACGUUGAUCCCGAGGACGCUAGUCCUUGGAGUAGUCGAAAAAAGAGACACCACCCUUGGAGAGUAACUAUGCUUUACUGUUAAUCAGGACACCGAUAGGUGGGCAGUUUGGGUGGGGCGCCACGCGCUCGAAAACCUAACAAGCGUGCCCAAAGGUCAGCUUAGGUGGUUCAGCACUCCACCGUCAACUGUAAGGGGAAAAGCUGGCUUGACGUGGAUCCGCACAAUAAGGAUCGACGAUGCGAAAGCAGGGCCUAACGAACCUACCAGCCUCAUUUCU